This 584-nucleotide ribosomal RNA is filed under the name uncultured bacterium. RNAcentral's name for it is "bacterial SSU rRNA". It matches the Rfam family "Bacterial small subunit ribosomal RNA", at positions 338 to 916 of the family's 1533-position model. The record is from RNAcentral.
CCUACGGGAGGCAGCAGUGGGGAAUUUUGGACAAUGGGCGCAAGCCUGAUCCAGCCAUGCCGCGUGCGGGAAGAAGGCCUUCGGGUUGUAAACCGCUUUUGUUCGGGAAGAAAUUGACUGGGCUAAUACCCCGGUUAGAUGACGGUACCGGAAGAAUAAGCACCGGCUAACUACGUGCCAGCAGCCGCGGUAAUACGUAGGGUGCGAGCGUUAAUCGGAAUUACUGGGCGUAAAGCGUGCGCAGGCGGUUUCGCAAGUCAGAUGUGAAAGCCCCGGGCUCAACCUGGGAACUGCAUUUGAAACUACGAAGCUAGAGUGUGUCAGAGGGGGGUAGAAUUCCACGUGUAGCAGUGAAAUGCGUAGAGAUGUGGAGGAAUACCAAUGGCGAAGGCAGCCCCCUGGGAUAACACUGACGCUCAUGCACGAAAGCGUGGGGAGCAAACAGGAUUAGAUACCCUGGUAGUCCACGCCCUAAACGAUGUCAACUAGUUGUCGGGAAGCAAUUCCUUGGUAACGCAGCUAACGCGUGAAGUUGACCGCCUGGGGAGUACGGUCGCAAGAUUAAAACUCAAAGGAAUUGACGG